GACGAACCGUGCGAACGUUGUUCGGAAUCACUGGGCUUAAAGGGCGCGUAGGCGGGCUGUUUAGUCGGGGGUGAAAUCGCUCGGCCCAACCGGACAAGGGCCUCCGAUACUGGCAGUCUCGAGGGAGGUAGGGGUUGGUGGAACUUCCGGUGGAGCGGUGAAAUGCGUAGAUAUCGGAAGGAACGCCGGUGGCGAAAGCGGCCAACUGGACCUCUUCUGACGCUGAUGCGCGAAAGCUAGGGGAGCGGACGGG
Molecule: ribosomal RNA, 253 nt
Filed under: uncultured bacterium
Lineage: Bacteria
Description: partial 16S ribosomal RNA
Rfam family: Bacterial small subunit ribosomal RNA
Source: RNAcentral